UGGCUCAGGAUGAACGCUAGCGACAGGCUUAACACAUGCAAGUCGAGGGGCAGCGGGGGUGAUGGCUUGCCAUCACCUGCCGGCGACCGGCGCACGGGUGAGUAACACGUAUGCAACCUGCCCGCCACGGGGGGAUAAGCGGAAGAAAUUCCGUCUAAUACCGCGUGACGCGGCGCCGGGGCAUCCCGGUGCCGCCAAAGGGAUUACCGGUGGCGGAUGGGCAUGCGGCGCAUUAGCUAGUCGGCGGGGUAACGGCCCACCGAGGCGACGAUGCGUAGGGGUUCUGAGAGGAAGGUCCCCCACACUGGUACUGAGACACGGACCAGACUCCUACGGGAGGCAGCAGUGAGGAAUAUUGGUCAAUGGGCGCGAGCCUGAACCAGCCAAGUCGCGUGAGGGAUGACGGUCCUACGGAUUGUAAACCUCUUUUGCCGGGGAGCAAGCGUGCGUUCGUGAACGCGCGUCGAGAGUACCCGGAGAAAAAGCAUCGGCUAACUCCGUGCCAGCAGCCGCGGUAAUACGGAGGAUGCGAGCGUUAUCCGGAUUUAUUGGGUUUAAAGGGUGCGUAGGCGGGAUGCCAAGUCAGCGGUAAAAAUGCGGUGCUCAACGCCGUCGAGCCGUUGAAACUGGCGUUCUUGAGUGGGCGAGAAGUAUGCGGAAUGCGUGGUGUAGCGGUGAAAUGCAUAGAUAUCACGCAGAACUCCGAUUGCGAAGGCAGCAUACCGGCGCCCUACUGACGCUGAGGCACGAAAGCGUGGGUAUCGAACAGGAUUAGAUACCCUGGUAGUCCACGCAGUAAACGAUGAAUGCUAACUGCCCGGCUCGAAUGAGCGCUGGGCGGUACAGCGAAAGCGUUAAGCAUUCCACCUGGGGAGUACGCCGGCAACGGUGAAACUCAAAGGAAUUGACGGGGGCCCGCACAAGCGGAGGAACAUGUGGUUUAAUUCGAUGAUACGCGAGGAACCUUACCCGGGCUCAAACGCAGGAUGACGGGUCCCGAAAGGGGUCUUUCUUCGGACAUUCUGCGAGGUGCUGCAUGGUUGUCGUCAGCUCGUGCCGUGAGGUGUCGGCUUAAGUGCCAUAACGAGCGCAACCCCUGUCCACAGUUGCCAGCAGGUAAAGCUGGGGACUCUGUGGAGACUGCCGGCGCAAGCUGCGAGGAAGGCGGGGAUGACGUCAAAUCAGCGCGGCCCUUACGUCCGGGGCGACACACGUGUUACAAUGGCAGGUACAGCGGGAUGCCACGGGGCGACCCGGCGCUGAACCCGAAAACCUGUCUCAGUUCGGAUUGGAGUCUGCAACCCGACUCCAUGAAGCUGGAUUCGCUAGUAAUCGCGCAUCAGCCACGGCGCGGUGAAUACGUUCCCGGGCCUUGUACACACCGCCCGUCAAGCCAUGGAAGCCGGGGGUACCUGGGUGCGUGACCGCGAGGAGCGCCCUAGGGUAAAACUCGGUGACUGGGGCUAAGUCGUAACAAGGUAGCCGU
RNAcentral lists this ribosomal RNA (1486 nucleotides) under uncultured bacterium. RNAcentral describes it as "16S ribosomal RNA". It matches the Rfam family "Bacterial small subunit ribosomal RNA". The record is from RNAcentral.